Molecule: ribosomal RNA, 286 nt
Filed under: Aegla jarai
Lineage: Eukaryota; Metazoa; Arthropoda; Malacostraca; Decapoda; Aeglidae
Description: partial 12S small subunit ribosomal RNA
Source: RNAcentral
UAUUUUAGUCUUGUUAGAGGAACCUGUUUUAUAAUCGAUAAACCACGUAUAUCUUACUUAUUUUAAAUAAUUUGUAUACCGUCAUUAUUAGAUAACUUUCAAAAAAUUAGUUAUUAAAAUUAAAUAAAAUUAAAUAUAUUAGAUCAAGGUGCAGUUAAUAAAUAAGAAAAAAUGGGUUACAAUAAAAUUUAUUUAAAACGAAUUAUAUAAAUGUAAAAAUAUAUGAAGGAGGAUUUAAUUGUAAUUUUUUUUAUAAAAUAAUAAUAUGAUAAUAGCUCUAAAAUAU